UACCAAGUAUACAAAUGAUGCCAUAUAGGAG
Molecule: non-coding RNA, 31 nt
Filed under: Mus musculus (house mouse)
Lineage: Eukaryota; Metazoa; Chordata; Mammalia; Rodentia; Muridae
Source: RNAcentral